UACGAAGGGGGCGAGCGUUAUUCGGAAUCACUGGGCGUAAAGCGUGCGUAGGCUGUUCUACAAGUCAGGCGUGAAAGCCCAAGGCUUAACCUUGGAAGCGCUCUUGAAACUGUAGGACUCGAGUUCGGGAGAGGAUAGCGGAAUUCUCAGUGUAGCAGUGAAAUGCGUAGAUAUUGAGAGGAACACCAGUGGCGCAAGCGGCUAUCUGGACCGACACUGACGCUGAGGCACGAAAGCGUGGGGAUCAAACAGG
This 253-nucleotide ribosomal RNA is filed under the name uncultured bacterium. Its description in RNAcentral is "partial 16S ribosomal RNA". It matches the Rfam family "Bacterial small subunit ribosomal RNA", at positions 524 to 776 of the family's 1533-position model. The record is from RNAcentral.